This is a long non-coding RNA of Drosophila miranda, 4460 nucleotides long. RefSeq lists it as uncharacterized. The record is from RefSeq and is a predicted model, not a curated record. Lineage: Eukaryota; Metazoa; Arthropoda; Insecta; Diptera; Drosophilidae. The transcript has 2 exons.
CUCUCUCUCUGUCCUCUCUCUCUUUGUGGCUCUGGGCCUUUGGCUGUGGGUUCUGGGCUCUGGUUCUGGGUUCUGUAUCAGUAUAUCAGUGUUUGAACUGAUAAUGUCCCAAGAUAAUAAGCGAUAAUAAUUUGAAUUUUUCAGUAAUUCCUUAAGUUUGGACGGCCCAACGGCAUGGAAUCUAAUCACAGUUGGUGAGUGUAACUGGGAUUUUCAACAUGAAAACAUUGUUUCAUGUCCGCGUCCGACAAAUAGAGAGUUUCCACAAGGAUACGACCCAUGAAAGAUACCAUAGUGAAGGAAACUCUAAAGUUCCCAAGGACGAACAGAGUGGGAAAAGUGUUUAGUGAACUAUCGGAAAGAUCUUCGAUCAAAGAACAAAUCCAUACCAUGGAUCAGUGGAAUACCAGUGUUCAUUUACAAGUUAUAUUCUUAUCCUCAUGGAAUAAGUUGCAACAUUACUUUGUGGUGGUGAUCUUUGGCUCCCACAUCGAUAAGAUAUCACUGGACUUUUGUAUAAAUUUUCCAACUGCCAAAAGCAUCGAACGGCUCAAGUAACACUUGAGAAGGCGAAAGCUAACUUUUGGAAGUUAAUUAAUGAUCCCCUGAUUAGAUUAGAAUAUGCUUAUUAAGUGCCAGGCGAUAGCAAAACGAACGAAUUCCCAGAAACGGCCCAAGGGAAAGUGGGCCCAAAUCAAGUGCACCUUCGACCUUAUCCGCAGUGGUGAUCUUUGGCUUAAAUGAAAUUGGUUUUUUGUGGCCAAAAAGGGGAAGAGCACCCCAUGGAGGUCUCUGCUUAGGAGAGAAGUAUAUAAGGAAAGACCUCUCCAGCGGAAGCCCAAAGGAUAGGCAUUGAUUGAGUGAAGAUUCUGUCAGUGAAAGACACUUUGGUAGACCUCAAUCUCUAAGGUUUUCCCUGUACCCUCCACCAUUCAAAAGCACAGGAAAAUUGUCAAGCGGUGACAAGUCUCUACCACUCCUGCCUGUACAUACAUUUUGAUUUGAGUUGAAGUCUGAUGAUGUCUUGUGGAUAUGUCUGCAUUGCGAUACUUCCAUGCCAUGUGUUGCGGGACCGACCCCCCCUUCGUGUCGUGGCCCAUGGCCCAUAGCUGUUUCUUCCUCAUUUUCAUUAUCUUAAGUACACAUUUUGAAGUACAAACGUCAGUUGGCGAUAAGGAACAGCAACGGGGACACGGGGAAGGUAGCAAACCCAAAGAAGACAUCAAAAAGCAGUCAAGUCAACAACAAACAGAAAAGAACAGAACCGUGAAGGAACCGCGCAAUGGAAUGGAAUGCUCUAAAUGCAAUCUGUUUGCACACAAUUCCACAGAGAAACCAAACUACCUUCUAUAUACAUACAUAUAUACCAAGAAUCAGAGGGAAUUUUUUCAGCAUUUUCACGCUAAAUAAAUCAGGCAAAUGUCAAACAUUUAAUUAGGUUCACCGCAGCAGCAGGGGGAAAACCAUACCCUAAAGAAAAAUGUAAGAAAAUCAUGUACUUUAAAUAUAUAGAAAGCGAACUUCAGGUUACAUAAAACCUCCUGUAGAGUUCUCGGUUCUCGGUGUUCUGUUUCUGUUUCUGCAUAUGGUAAAUACCAUUAUCAAAUCAUAUUAUCUUAUUUAUAAGCAUUAUCGUGCCACAGAUACAGAUUGCCUAUCUAUGGAAUGGGCAUGUAAAAAAAAUCAUAUAUACACAGAUAUCUUACUGGCGGCUUCGUUAUUUCGUUGGCUGGCUGUCUGCCAGUAAGUUUUGCACUUUCCAUUUAAACACGUUCCGAUCCGAUCCGUCGAGAGUAAUUAUGAAAAUAUAAUAUAAUAAUAAUGCAUUAUAAUGCCCCAAAAGUAUACGUGACAGAGGGAGAGAGAGAUCGUAAAGUGACAAAUCCGAAAAACAAAUGGUGCCACGGUUCUACGAGUAUUGUAAAAAAGAGCCAUAAAAAUGCCAUGUCGGGCAUGAAAUCAUCGCAUGUUAUGGCAUGGACUAUAAGUUGAAUCUCUGACAGUUUGUGGAGGAAACGAAAGGAGGAAACUGAGUGCUAAGUACCCCGCCCUCAAUGACAACGAUUUCCGCGGAUCUUGAUGGGGAAAACCACAUGCGUAGUCAGUGCAUGAAUAAUUCUCUCCAUUCAUUCCACGCUUGUUUUUCUCCAAGAAGCAAAAUGAUAAGAGCCAAGGAGCUGCUGCUUAACAAGCAUGAUUAAAUUUAUUUCUGGCUCUCCGACCAGUAUUUUUAGACACUUUAUUUGGAAGAAAUCAACGUUGAUAUAGGGCUUGGGGUAUAUUUCUUAUGUAAAAGAUGCCUCAGAAGUUAUUCAUAAUUGCUGGAUGGUUGGUAUGGUUGCAUGCCUGAUGCAUAGAUUCUCUUCUACACAAUAUUUAUAUGGUUUCUGUAAACAUAUAUCUUGUUCAUUCUCUGCCUAAAGCUCUUGUUAAAUAAUCGUACACGAUUCUUAUAUGAUUCUAGCCCAGUUUUGUUUCGCAAUUAACCAUCUUGUUUGCUAGCAGUAAAUAUCGUGGAAUUGGGUAAACAGCUUCAGACAAUGGAUUUCAUUUCAUGAUCUACAAACAAUGAUUCAUUAGAAGAGCUUACGAAACUUGAACAAAUGUGGAUAAAACUUUGACUUUGUAGAGCUCUAAGAAAUCACCGAAUGGGCUCUGCUUUCUGUGAUCCAUUUAGAUAUCUCUUUCUAGUUGUUAUUCCAAUCAUACUUUCAAUCAUUAUAAGUAAAAUAAACCCCUGGAUGACCUCCUUCUUCCCCCAACAACGGAUCUCGACUAAGAAACUUCUAUAUACAGACGGGCAGGGACUACUGGGAAUGAUUGGAAAUCAAAGCCCAAGACCAUAUCUUUCUAUAUCUUAUCACGCUUAUGCUUGUGUGUAUGAUGCGAUAUCAUGUAAGACAAGGCUAUAUGUAUAUACCACUGGCAUUAUCAUCCCAUUAUCUGGCCAAAAGCGUUGAUAGGAAAACCCUGACCCAGCCAGAACCCAAAAAAAAAACAAAAUAAAAGAACUUACAAUCUCUCUCUGGGUGAAAGUUUUGCAAAGCCGAAAAAUCUGUGCAAUGACCGAUUAGAGGGAUCCAAAAAGAGAAACAGCUAAAAACUAUUGAAUGAAAUUGGGUUUGGAAUACAUUUUGAGGGGCAUAGAAUGAGGAUUCCGCUGUAAUCAAUCAGAGUGGACGCGGAUCGUGGCGCAGCCCCAUUCGGUGGCACUUGAACGAGUGCACGAGCCGACAUACGGCACUUUGGUACAGUCACGUAGACAGGCGCAGAGCGUAUGCUCCCUCCCACCCCCACUAGCCUUCACCUCUCUACACGGGCAGCAACCAACCCUAGCAAUAAACAAAAAAACUGUUUUGCCAUAUGAAAUGACUUUCAGAUUUGUUGUUGUUGUCGUUUUGUAACGCGUGACUCCCAUAAAAAACAAAGUUUAUUAAAAAAAACAAGGAAAAAAUAGAACAAAAUAAAAGGGUGGAGGGGUUGCUGAUGAAAGGGGGGAUGGGUAACUCGCGAGAGAGUGACAGGGCCAGAGGGGCAGGGAGGGGGAGUGGACUUGGAGAGGGGACCUCAGCAAUGCGACGUUAUCUUAUCGCUGAAAAUGUCGCUUUCGUAAAUGGCGGCGCACAAUAUAAAAUAAUACACACACACACACAGACAUACAGACACAUGUACAUCCCCCUGAAAACACACACAUUCUACUAUAUAACAUACAUACAUAUAUACACAUAUAGAGACACCCUCCCUCCUACCAUUGCCAACGUUCCCGCCUGUGGCACCAAAGUUGUUGCUACGGGAUAUGGGAUUAGAUGGUACCUGCUUACACUUUUAUAGAUCACCGUCCACAUGAAAACUGUCAAUAAAAUGGAUUAUAAUUUGAUGAAAUCAUACCAAAGUCUAUGCUUCAAUUUAAAACGGGAAUAAUAGAUCAAAUUUUAUGCGCAAGUAUGACAAAGCCAGCCCGGCUGGCCCUUCAUGGCGCGGCGGUGGCUGAGCGCCAGAGCCGAAGAUCCUGGGAUGAUCCCAGCUCUAAAUAUAGAUUACAAAUUAUUUCUGAAAGGAUAUUUCAUGAUAUAUUUUGCCGGAUAAGCGGCCCGAGGCUUAAACCUUCACUUUUCCGUGUCCUCCGCCGCUCUGGUGACGGCCUUACCGGAUCGAUACUGCAUCCACGAUCGCGUGCAUCGCGCCAGCAUUUGGACCCUCUCUGGCCACAAACUGCUAUACCGCGAUCCCUUCCUCUUACUCCGUCAGCUAUUAUUUAUUAAUUUACUUUAUGUAGCUCCUUUCAUUUUAGCAGGUCGCCCCAUCCGGUGGCCAGGAACACUUCUUGCGUGCCCGCGGACACCAAUAUACCUAGGGGCUUCACACUUCUGGUCGCGGUCGGAAAAAAGAUAAAAAUGUUUUCCACUUGUUAUUUAUUUACACUAAGCUACGUUUUGAUGAAUAAAACUAUUGAAAAAUCA